AGUGAACGCUGGCGGUAGGCCUAACACAUGCAAGUCGAACGGCAGCACAGUAAGAGCUUGCUCUUACGGGUGGCGAGUGGCGGACGGGUGAGGAAUACAUCGGAAUCUACUUUUUCGUGGGGGAUAACGUAGGGAAACUUACGCUAAUACCGCAUACUACCUACGGGUGAAAGCAGGGGAUCUUCGGACCUUGCGCGAUUGAAUGAGCCGAUGUCGGAUUAGCUAGUUGGCGGGGUAAAGGCCCACCAAGGCGACGAUCCGUAGCUGGUCUGAGAGGAUGAUCAGCCACACUGGAACUGAGACACGGUCCAGACUCCUAUGGGAGGCAGCAGUGGGGAAUAUUGGACAAUGGGCGCAAGCCUGAUCCAGCCAUACCGCGUGGGUGAAGAAGGCCUUCGGGUUGUAAAGCCCUUUUGUUGGGAAAGAAAAGCAGCAGGUUAAUACCCCGCUGUUCUGACGGUACCCAAAGAAUAAGCACCGGCUAACUUCGUG
RNAcentral lists this ribosomal RNA (492 nucleotides) under uncultured bacterium. RNAcentral describes it as "partial 16S ribosomal RNA". It matches the Rfam family "Bacterial small subunit ribosomal RNA", at positions 29 to 507 of the family's 1533-position model. The record is from RNAcentral.